AACGGGUGGCGGCGGUCAACGCCUUUGAGACCUGCCCCACGGCCCCCGGUUGGGCCGUAGCCCUCCUGUCCACGGUGCCCGGUGAACCUGCCCCGAUUUUGGCCCAGGGCACCCUGAGACCGCCAAUUUAAGGACCACAAACGGGAGGAGGGCUUCAGCAGGGGAGCUGGUGCGUCCUGCCGCGUGUUUGAAAACAUGCCUCUGAAACAUAACCCAGAAGGCUAAGCUGUAACAGAUGCCUCUUCCACACACGUCGUCUCACAAAAGCCAGCGCUUUGCGAUGGCUUCUGAGCCAGGGCAGGGUUCUUCGACGCCAGGCGCAACGGCAGAAGAAAUGUCCUCCUGAGAAGACGCUCAGGUUGUGUAAACCAGCGCGGUAACAUUGAUGGAAAUCCAAACGCAUCAGUUUUCAGUCAUUUAACUCUCUUUCAUUUAAGCGGCCAUGUCAGCUUGAGGUCUAACAGGCACCAUGAAGCGCCACGAAGCCAGCAGAAAUCUUUUCCGACUAGCAGCUGGACUGCACGGGUACAGAAAAGCACUUUCAGAGUCUUACAGGACAGACAAGGAGCCAAAGGCCUCUAACAAAUUGGCUUUACUACUUUGGGAAGGAAUGGGUGAAGGCCAUGGGACAGAAG
Molecule: long non-coding RNA, 635 nt
Organism: Struthio camelus australis
Lineage: Eukaryota; Metazoa; Chordata; Aves; Struthioniformes; Struthionidae
Source: Ensembl